This is a non-coding RNA of Paramuricea clavata, 1180 nucleotides long. The record is from the annotation of a GenBank genome assembly. NCBI's taxonomy places the organism in Eukaryota, Metazoa, Cnidaria, Anthozoa, Malacalcyonacea, Plexauridae.
CCCACGUCUUCAUUGCUUAUCUUGUCCUUCGGAGAAGACCCACCUUGCAUCUCCGUUCUUCCUCCUCCGCAUAUCAUUUAUCAGUUCUCAAAGAUAUUGACUCUGGCGACAUUUACACUGCGAUGGAUAACUUUCCGUAGCGACGUGCCGAAAAACGCCUACCGUGCCUUUUUAGUAACGCUAUUUUCAGACAAAUUAUUGCAAUGGAGAGAUGUUGUUUCGCUCAACUUCUGAAAGUUGUACAUUCCCUAUCGGAUAGGUGUUUUUUUCGCACCGCUACGGAUAGCUAUAUAUCCGGUAUAAUGUAAACGUAGCCCAUAUAUAUUGGCUCUUAAUUAUUUGAAAGCCAAUAAUCGUGAAUUUAAACAGAUUUUGAUUAAGUGCAUUAUAUUAGAUUUGGCCCUGGCACUACAGAAUAUAAUAUAAUGGAAUAUAAUCGUGUUUUAAAUAUAUCGCAUCACAGCUUGAAAGAGCAUCACAAAAUUAGUAAUAUUCCGAAGUUUCGUUGCGAAAUGUUGUAAAAUGCGGAUAAUAUAGCCUUGCGAAGUUUACCGUUUUUCAGUCAUUUUGUAUUACAUUUGAAAUUGAUGAUCAGUUUGAUCAUCACUGAUUAUCAGUUUCCCGUUUGUAAUACCAAAGUGACUGAAAAACGGCAAAUUUCGCAAGGCUAUAGUAUCCGCAUUUUACAACAUUUCGCAACGAAACUUUGGAAUAUUACUAAUUUUGCUAUGCUCUUUCAAGCUGUGAUGAAAUUUUUGUCCAGACUUGUCUAGAUCAAAAUUUCACUUAAAAGGGGAAAGGUCUAUUGGUUACGAAAUUAACCUAUUGUCGAAUACAGUUAAUAUUAUAUAUGGUUACAUAUAAGUUUCACCCUAGUGACUGAGCAUAAAUAUUCAUAGUGUAUGUAAUUACACAGUUUCCUCUUAAUCAGAGACAAGUCUAGCUUGCGUCCACGCAUUACGGAUGAUCUUCUCAACCUUGGGUGCUUCGGGAUGUUUUAGGAUAUGAGGAGCAAAUGCUCCGUCUGGAGGCGCAUCAUCAGCAGGACGAUGUGACGCACCGCUAUCCUUAUCUUCUGAGUAAAUCUCGAGAAUCUUGGCCCUCCAACAACAGCAGAAUCUAGUCUCCUUCAGUUCCAAAUCUUUCAGGAAACGAUAGUCGAUGUACUCUUGGUUCACUG